This is a long non-coding RNA of Oxyura jamaicensis (ruddy duck), 361 nucleotides long. RefSeq lists it as uncharacterized. NCBI's taxonomy places the organism in Eukaryota, Metazoa, Chordata, Aves, Anseriformes, Anatidae. The record is from RefSeq and is a predicted model, not a curated record. The transcript is spliced from 2 exons.
CUGUAAUCAUGUGUCCUGGUCUUGGCUAGGGUAGAGUUAAUUUUUCUCCUAGUUGCUGGUAGGGUGCUGUGUUUGGGAUUUAGGAUGAGAAUAAUGUUGAUAACAUACUGUUUUAAUUGUUGCAGAGCAAUGCUUACACUAAGCCAAGGACUUUUCAGCUUCUCGCUCUGUCUUGCCAGUGGGCAGGCUGUGGGGGGGGACCGGCUGCUCGGGGAUAGGCUGGGCAUUGGUCAGCAGGUGGUGAGUAGUUGCACUGUGCAUCGCUUGUUUAUACACGUUAUUAUUAGUAAUACUAUUGGUUGUACUAUUAUUAUUAUUAUUUUCCUUUCUUUCCUGUCCUAAUAAACUGUCUUUAUCUCAA